Molecule: ribosomal RNA, 473 nt
Filed under: Escherichia coli
Lineage: Bacteria; Pseudomonadati; Pseudomonadota; Gammaproteobacteria; Enterobacterales; Enterobacteriaceae
Description: bacterial SSU rRNA
Rfam family: Bacterial small subunit ribosomal RNA
Source: RNAcentral
AAAUUGAAGAGUUUGAUCAUGGCUCAGAUUGAACGCUGGCGGCAGGCCUAACACAUGCAAGUCGAACGGUAACAGGGAUCAGCUUGCUGAUUCGCUGACGAGUGGCGGACGGGUGAGUAAUGUCUGGGAAACUGCCUGAUGGAGGGGGAUAACUACUGGAAACGGUAGCUAAUACCGCAUAACGUCGCAAGACCAAAGAGGGGGACCUUCGGGCCUCUUGCCAUCGGAUGUGCCCAGAUGGGAUUAGCUAGUAGGUGGGGUAACGGCUCACCUAGGCGACGAUCCCUAGCUGGUCUGAGAGGAUGACCAGCCACACUGGAACUGAGACACGGUCCAGACUCCUACGGGAGGCAGCAGUGGGGAAUAUUGCACAAUGGGCGCAAGCCUGAUGCAGCCAUGCCGCGUGUAUGAAGAAGGCCUUCGGGUUGUAAAGUACUUUCAGCGGGGAGGAAGGGAGUAAAGUUAAUACCUUU